This 204-nucleotide ribosomal RNA is filed under the name uncultured bacterium. RNAcentral describes it as "partial 16S ribosomal RNA". It matches the Rfam family "Bacterial small subunit ribosomal RNA", at positions 524 to 721 of the family's 1533-position model. The record is from RNAcentral.
UACGGAGGGGGCGAGCGUUAUUCGGAAUCAUUGGGCGUAAAGGGCGCGUAGGCGGCUUUGUAAGUCUUGGGUGAAAGCCCUCGGCUCAACCGAGGAAUUGCCUUGGAUACUGCGAAGCUCGAGGCUGGAAGAGGACAGUGGAAUUCCCGGUGUAGCGGUGGAAAUGACGCAGAUAUCAGGAGGGAACACCCGGUGGGCGAAAGG